UACCCGGGGAUCCGAUUCCUACGGGAGGCAGCAGUGGGGAAUAUUGCACAAUGGGCGAAAGCCUGAUGCAGCGACGCCGCGUGAGGGAUGAAGGCCUUCGGGUUGUAAACCUCUUUCAGCAGGGAAGAAGCGCAAGUGACGGUACCUGCAGAAGAAGCACCGGCUAACUACGUGCCAGCAGCCGCGGUAAUACGUAGGGUGCAAGCGUUGUCCGGAAUUAUUGGGUGUAAAGAGCUUGUAGGCGGUUUGUCGCGUCUGCUGUGAAAUUUCGGGGCUCAACCCCGAACUUGCAGUGGGUACGGGCAGACUAGAGUGUGGUAGGGGAGACUGGAAUUCCUGGUGUAGCGGUGAAAUGCGCAGAUAUCAGGAGGAACACCGAUGGCGAAGGCAGGUCUCUGGGCCACUACUGACGCUGAGAAGCGAAAGCUGGGGAGCGAACAGGAUUAGAUACCCUGGUAGUCCAUGCCGUAAACGUUGGGAACUAGGUGUGGGCCUCAUUCCACGAGGUCCGUGCCGCAGCUAACGCAUUAAGUUCCCCGCCUGGGGAGUACGGCCGCAAGGCUAAAACUCAAAGGAAUUGACGGGGGCCCGCACAAGCGGCGGAGCAUGCGGAUUAAUUCGAUGCAACGCGAAGAACCUUACCAAGGCUUGACAUGUGCCGGAAAAGUGCAGAGAUGUGCUCCCCGCAAGGUCGGUACACAGGUGGUGCAUGGUUGUCGUCAGCUCGUGUCGUGAGAUGUUGGGUUAAGUCCCGCAACGAGCGCAACCCUCAUUCUAUGUUGCCAGCACGUGAUGGUGGGGACUCAUAGGAGACUGCCGGGGUCAACUCGGAGGAAGGUGGGGAUGACGUCAAAUCAUCAUGCCCCUUAUGUCUUGGGCUUCACGCAUGCUACAAUGGCCAGUACAAAGGGCUGCGAUACCGUAAGGUGGAGCGAAUCCCAAAAAACUGGUCUCAGUUCGGAUUGGGGUCUGCAACUCGACCCCAUGAAGUCGGAGUCGCUAGUAAUCGCAGAUCAGCAACGCUGCGGUGAAUACGUUCCCGGGCCUUGUACACACCGCC
This 1060-nucleotide ribosomal RNA is filed under the name uncultured Oryzihumus sp. RNAcentral's name for it is "bacterial SSU rRNA". It matches the Rfam family "Bacterial small subunit ribosomal RNA", at positions 321 to 1394 of the family's 1533-position model. Lineage: Bacteria; Bacillati; Actinomycetota; Actinomycetes; Micrococcales; Intrasporangiaceae. The record is from RNAcentral.